UGGGGAAUAUUGGACAAUGGGCGAAAGCCUGAUCCAGCCAUGCCGCGUGUGUGAAGAAGGUCUUCGGAUUGUAAAGCACUUUAAGUUGGGAGGAAGGGCAGUAAGCGAAUACCUUGCUGUUUUGACGUUACCGACAGAAUAAGCACCGGCUAACUCUGUGCCAGCAGCCGCGGUAAUACAGCGGGUGCAAGCGUUAAUCGGAAUUACUGGGCGUAAAGCGCGCGUAGGUGGUUCGUUAAGUUGAAUGUGAAAGCCCCGGGCUCAACCUGGGAACUGCAUCCAAAACUGGCGAGCUAGAGUAGGGCAGAGGGUGGUGGAAUUUCCUGUGUAGCGGUGAAAUGCGUAGAUAUAGGAAGGAACACCAGUGGCGAAGGCGACCACCUGGGCUCAUACUGACACUGAGGUGCGAAAGCGUGGGGAGCAAACAGG
Molecule: ribosomal RNA, 429 nt
Filed under: Pseudomonadota bacterium
Lineage: Bacteria; Pseudomonadati; Pseudomonadota
Description: Proteobacteria bacterium partial 16S ribosomal RNA
Rfam family: Bacterial small subunit ribosomal RNA
Source: RNAcentral